Molecule: non-coding RNA, 24 nt
Filed under: Arabidopsis thaliana (thale cress)
Lineage: Eukaryota; Viridiplantae; Streptophyta; Magnoliopsida; Brassicales; Brassicaceae
Source: RNAcentral
UUAACACUCCUUAACAGCGCUCCU